Molecule: ribosomal RNA, 357 nt
Filed under: Triticum aestivum (bread wheat)
Lineage: Eukaryota; Viridiplantae; Streptophyta; Magnoliopsida; Poales; Poaceae
Description: partial small subunit ribosomal RNA
Source: RNAcentral
AUGAUACAGGUGACUAUCAGGCGGUGGAUGAUCCUUUUCAAAAAACAUCAUUUGGAGGGGCUGAAAAAAAAUGUCCAAUAUGAUAAAUCAGCUCAUACAAACCCCCUUCAGGCUGGGGGUGGGCUGAUCUAUGGAGGAGUGACGCAGCUGGGCAAUGCAGAGGGGCUGGAGAGGUCAAUGCUCAACAAGCUGUCGCUGUUUUCAAAACCUGCAGAUGGCAACGAACCUUCCUCUCCUCACGGAAGAGAUUGGAACCUCAAGCAUGUGGUGUCCAGCCCAACUACGCCGCUAGAUCUUACUGCUUCUCCAACACAAUCCCCUCUGAAGAAGAAGGGGGCUGAAACAGUCUGGAAAUGA